GACGAACGCUGGCGGCGUGCCUAAUACAUGCAAGUAGAACGCUGAAGAGAGGAGCUUGCUCUUCUUGGAUGAGUUGCGAACGGGUGAGUAACGCGUAGGUAACCUGCCUUGUAGCGGGGGAUAACUAUUGGAAACGAUAGCUAAUACCGCAUAACAAUGGAUGACCCAUGUCAUUUAUUUGAAAGGGGCAAAUGCUCCACUACAAGAUGGACCUGCGUUGUAUUAGCUAGUAGGUGAGGUAACGGCUCACCUAGGCGACGCUACAUAGCCGACCUGAGAGGGUGAUCGGCCACACUGGGACUGAGACACGGCCCAGACUCCUACGGGAGGCAGCAGUAGGGAAUCUUCGGCAAUGGGGGCAACCCUGACCGAGCAACGCCGCGUGAGUGAAGAAGGUUUUCGGAUCGUAAAGCUCUGUUGUAAGUCAAGAACGAGUGUGAGAGUGGAAAGUUCACACUGUGACGGUAGCUUACCAGAAAGGGACGGCUAACUACGUG
RNAcentral lists this ribosomal RNA (497 nucleotides) under uncultured bacterium. RNAcentral describes it as "partial 16S ribosomal RNA". It matches the Rfam family "Bacterial small subunit ribosomal RNA", at positions 28 to 507 of the family's 1533-position model. The record is from RNAcentral.